RNAcentral lists this ribosomal RNA (1372 nucleotides) under uncultured bacterium. RNAcentral's name for it is "bacterial SSU rRNA". It matches the Rfam family "Bacterial small subunit ribosomal RNA", at positions 28 to 1381 of the family's 1533-position model. The record is from RNAcentral.
GAUGAACGCUGGCGGCGUGCCUAAUACAUGCAAGUCGAGCGAACGGACGAGAAGCUUGCUUCUCUGAUGUUAGCGGCGGACGGGUGAGUAACACGUGGAUAACCUACCUAUAAGACUGGGAUAACUUCGGGAAACCGGAGCUAAUACCGGAUAAUAUUUUGAACCGCAUGGUUCAAAAGUGAAAGACGGUCUUGCUGUCACUUAUAGAUGGAUCCGCGCCGCAUUAGCUAGUUGGUAAGGUAACGGCUUACCAAGGCAACGAUGCAUAGCCGACCUGAGAGGGUGAUCGGCCACACUGGAACUGAGACACGGUCCAGACUCCUACGGGAGGCAGCAGUAGGGAAUCUUCCGCAAUGGGCGAAAGCCUGACGGAGCAACGCCGCGUGAGUGAUGAAGGUCUUCGGAUCGUAAAACUCUGUUAUUAGGGAAGAACAUAUGUGUAAGUAACUGUGCACAUCUUGACGGUACCUAAUCAGAAAGCCACGGCUAAUUACGUGCCAGCAGCCGCGGUAAUACGUAGGUGGCAAGCGUUAUCCGGAAUUAUUGGGCGUAAAGCGCGCGUAGGCGGUUUUUUAAGUCUGAUGUGAAAGCCCACGGCUCAACCGUGGAGGGUCAUUGGAAACUGGAAAACUUGAGUGCAGAAGAGGAAAGUGGAAUUCCAUGUGUAGCGGUGAAAUGCGCAGAGAUAUGGAGGAACACCAGUGGCGAAGGCGACUUUCUGGUCUGUAACUGACGCUGAUGUGCGAAAGCGUGGGGAUCAAACAGGAUUAGAUACCCUGGUAGUCCACGCCGUAAACGAUGAGUGCUAAGUGUUAGGGGGUUUCCGCCCCUUAGUGCUGCAGCUAACGCAUUAAGCACUCCGCCUGGGGAGUACGACCGCAAGGUUGAAACUCAAAGGAAUUGACGGGGACCCGCACAAGCGGUGGAGCAUGUGGUUUAAUUCGAAGCAACGCGAAGAACCUUACCAAAUCUUGACAUCCUUUGACAACUCUAGAGAUAGAGCCUUCCCCUUCGGGGGACAAAGUGACAGGUGGUGCAUGGUUGUCGUCAGCUCGUGUCGUGAGAUGUUGGGUUAAGUCCCGCAACGAGCGCAACCCUUAAGCUUAGUUGCCAUCAUUAAGUUGGGCACUCUAAGUUGACUGCCGGUGACAAACCGGAGGAAGGUGGGGAUGACGUCAAAUCAUCAUGCCCCUUAUGAUUUGGGCUACACACGUGCUACAAUGGACAAUACAAAGGGCAGCGAAACCGCGAGGUCAAGCAAAUCCCAUAAAGUUGUUCUCAGUUCGGAUUGUAGUCUGCAACUCGACUACAUGAAGCUGGAAUCGCUAGUAAUCGUAGAUCAGCAUGCUACGGUGGAUACGUUCCCGGGUCU